GUGCCAGCCGCCGCGGUAAGACGAACUGCCCGAACGUUAUUCGGAAUCACUGGGCUUAAAGGGUGCGUAGGCGGCCUGGUCAGUGGGGUGUGAAAUCCCUCGGCUCAACCGAGGAACUGCGCCCCAUACUGCUAGGCUUGAGGGAGAUAGAGGUGAGCGGAACUCAUGGUGGAGCGGUGAAAUGCGUUGAUAUCAUGAGGAACACCUGCGGCGAAAGCGGCUCACUGGAUCUCUUCUGACGCUGAGGCACGAAAGCUAGGGGAGCGAACGGGAUUAGAAACCCUAGUAGUCC
This 292-nucleotide ribosomal RNA is filed under the name uncultured prokaryote. RNAcentral describes it as "partial 16S ribosomal RNA". It matches the Rfam family "Bacterial small subunit ribosomal RNA", at positions 505 to 796 of the family's 1533-position model. The record is from RNAcentral.